RNAcentral lists this unclassified non-coding RNA (258 nucleotides) under plant metagenome. RNAcentral's name for it is "partial contains small subunit ribosomal RNA, internal transcribed spacer 1, and 5.8S ribosomal RNA". The stretch from base 1 to 54 matches the Rfam family "Eukaryotic small subunit ribosomal RNA", at positions 1778 to 1831 of the family's 1831-position model. The record is from RNAcentral.
GGAAGUGAAAGUCGUAACAAGGUUUCCGUAGGUGAACCUGCGGAAGGAUCAUUACUGAGUGAGGGCCCCUCGGGGUCCAACCUCCCACCCGUGUUUAACGAACCUUGUUGCUUCGGCGGGCCCGCCUCACGGCCGCCGGGGGGCAUCUGCCCCCGGGCCCGCGCCCGCCGAAGCCACCUGUGAACGCUGUCUGAAGUAUGCAGUCUGAGACAAUUAUUAAAUUAAUUAAAACUUUCAACAACGGAUCUCUUGGUUCCG